AAAAAUUAAUUAUCUAUUAACGUGGAUUUGGACGACAAUAGUUUGUGAUGUUUCAUGUGAUGAUCAUUUUCAUGUUCAUCGUCUUUGAAUUGACAUGAGGAUAUCUAUGGAAAAGUAACUAAUCUGAAAGUAAGCCAACAUAUCGUUUGUCCUUUGUGUGCUAAAGAAAAGAUUUUCUUUUCGCAUCAUGAGGAAGUAUUACAUCAAUUAAAAAAUGUUAGGAAGUUGAUUACUUGUCAUGGAAAAGUAUACCAAUGGAAAUUAUUUGUUAAAGAAGUAUAAUUCUAAGGGUUUUAAGAAUAAAUUGGUUGAACCCAAAAUCUGGAGGAAGUACCUAUAUCCAUACACAGAAUAUGCCCAUUAAAAAUACUAGUCCAAAUUUGCUUUAAUGGUAGACAAUUAUUCAAUACAAAUUAACUUUUUAAGUGACUGAAAUAUUAAAUAGUUUAGAAUAUGGUAUAACAAUGUAAAAAAAUAUUAUUUUCAGGAACGAUUAGGGCCCGAUAUAUUUGAAACUCAUGUUGGACAUAGUAUUGAGUUGGGUAGAAUAUUAUUCUACGUUAAGUGAGGGUAUCAGAUACCUAUUAUUGUACUGUAUUUUAAUAUAUACAUUAGAAUUGUUGGUUUUUU
This is a long non-coding RNA of Sitophilus oryzae (rice weevil), 630 nucleotides long. RefSeq lists it as uncharacterized. The transcript has 3 exons. NCBI's taxonomy places the organism in Eukaryota, Metazoa, Arthropoda, Insecta, Coleoptera, Curculionidae. The record is from RefSeq and is a predicted model, not a curated record.